RNAcentral lists this transfer RNA (75 nucleotides) under Mycobacterium phage Nanosmite. RNAcentral describes it as "tRNA-Leu". The record is from RNAcentral. Lineage: Duplodnaviria; Heunggongvirae; Uroviricota; Caudoviricetes; Vilmaviridae.
GGCUCGUUAGGCAAACUGGCAAAGCCGCCAAGCUCAGACCUUGGUGUAUCAGAGUUCGACUCUCUGGCGAGCUAC